UAGUCUAGUGGUUAAGGCUAUGGAUCGCCAAUCCGGAGAUGGCGGGUUCGAUUCCCGU
Molecule: non-coding RNA, 58 nt
Organism: Aedes albopictus (Asian tiger mosquito)
Lineage: Eukaryota; Metazoa; Arthropoda; Insecta; Diptera; Culicidae
Source: Rfam